UUGUCUGUGAAGAGUGAAGUCAUGACAUCUGUCUCUGGAGUGAUUGUCAGGAUCAAAUGAGAAGAAACCCCUGUGUGGCUGUGUCCAGGUGCCAGAGAUGGUGGUUUCUGCUUGAGCUGAGCUUGACGGUGGGGAGGGACCUCACCAGAAAGAAGUGAGGCGGUUGCAGGGGAGGGGAUCAGCUGAGUCUUAGAGAGCAAUGCUGGCCAGAGUCCAGAGAAGGGCAGGGCUGCCCAACCACUUACCCCACAGGAGCGAGUUCCCAAAGCACUUCCUGUCUUGGAGCUCCUGCUCUUGGACUCAUUAUUUUUAAAGCUUUUUGGGGUCCUUAACGCUUUCUUUUUUUUAAGUUUAUUGAUUUGUUUUGACAGAGAGAGAGAGCGCGCGCGCGCGCGCGCGCACGAGCACGAGCAGGGGAGGGGCAAAGAGAGAGAAUCCCAAGCAGGUUCCAUGCUGUCUGCGCAAGCCCAACGUGGGGCUCGAUCUCACAAAAGAGUUUACUCCGGUCCCUCCCCCUAGAGGAGUUCCCAGGCCAGUGGAAGGUGCACCACAAAUCCCAAAUCACAAUAAUAAAAGUAUGCAGCGGCAUAAAUCAGUUCAGAGGUUCCUCAAGAGGAAGUCAGAGGAUUCUCAGCAGAGGAGCUGAAUUUGAAGCAGGAAAUGAUGAAGAGAAGUCAGCAGGAGAACAGAGAGGAAGUGAAGAAGGGCUUUCUGUAGAUAAGGGAGAGGAAGAUGAGCUUCCCAUAAUCACAAGCAAAUGAUAUCAGACCUUCUGAAUGUUAACAACACUGAGCGAAAACCGUGACUUUCUCUUGAAACGUGUAUCUGAAUUUCCUUUCAGGUACGUACUUUGCGCGCUGUAAUUCCUCUUGUUUGCAAAAUGUAUAUUUGAGUCUCUUUUUAAGUCUACAGUUUCUUUAUUUCCUCUGUUGUCAAAGUGUGCACUUGAAUCGCUUCCCAAAUAUGUACUCUAAGUGCGUCCACCGAAAGUGCAAGGGGAGUGUAAGAUCCCUCCCCGUGGAUCUUACACCGAUUUCUGGCAAGGUGGCUGUGGCGUGGAGAAAUCGCGGGUGAUUCCCGCGAGGGAGAGAGAACCUGAAAACGUGAUAUAGGCAGUCCAGCUUCUAGAUAGUGGAAUCUAACCCCACUUUUUCCUGUAUCCAUAUUUUUUGAGAAAGUCAUAUUACCAAAAAAAAAAAAAAAA
Long non-coding RNA from Herpailurus yagouaroundi (jaguarundi), 1204 nucleotides. RefSeq lists it as uncharacterized. The record is from RefSeq and is a predicted model, not a curated record. NCBI's taxonomy places the organism in Eukaryota, Metazoa, Chordata, Mammalia, Carnivora, Felidae. The transcript has 2 exons.